This 297-nucleotide ribosomal RNA is filed under the name uncultured bacterium. Its description in RNAcentral is "partial 16S ribosomal RNA". It matches the Rfam family "Bacterial small subunit ribosomal RNA", at positions 28 to 318 of the family's 1533-position model. The record is from RNAcentral.
GACGAACGCUGGCGGCGCGCUUAACACAUGCAAGUCGAGCGAGAACCUAGGCUUCGGCCUAGGGGACAGCGGCGAACGGGUGAGUAACACGUGGGUAAUCUGCCCUCGACAUCGGGAUAGCCCGGGGAAACCCGGAUUAAUACCGAAUGGCCCAUCCGCUUUUCGGUAGCGGCUGGAAAGGUAGCUUCGGCCUCCGGUCGAGGAGGAGCCCGCGGCGGAUUAGCUUGUUGGUGAGGUAAUGGCCCACCAAGGCGACGAUCCGUAGCUGGUCUGAGAGGACGAUCAGCCACACUGGGA